CUCUUGCACUCUGGUAACGCGUUGAUGCUUGAGAAAUGGGCCUUGGAGGGGAUGGGGUGAGAGGUGUGUGUCUGACUCGAGUUUUUGCCUUGCUGUGCUUUUACAGUAGAAUAUAAGUUCUGCAUGUGAAGUAUUUAAGUAAUGUCUUGUUUUUGUGUCGUUACUGGCAUUCUGUAUGACCAUGUCUUGAAGUGAAAUCGUGGAGAAAAGCAUCGUCUGCCAAGCUGUAGAGACGGUGUUAAUAGCACAUAACGUGUGACAUGACGAAGAGUUGUAGAGAGCUCUCACAGCACUGGUGUUCUUUUCAGUAAGGCUGCAGGCUGUGGGCAGAAAGAUGAGAGAAAUAAGCACCUGCCUUGAAUUUUCAUACAGCUAUGGAAUGAAGGGGCAUUUCAUAGCAAAUGGAUGAAGUGUCUGGGUUCUCAGUUCCUAUGUAGUUAUGAUGGCAGUGCAGUGUUUGGGAAGCGUGCAGCCAGCUGACUUGUUCUUCUCGUUCUGGGUUUUGUCGCACGGCGGUCGUGUUUUGCAGACGUGGACUACAUCUGAUGACUGACUUGUGGAUAGAAACGUGUAUGCUGUGCUCAUUACCUUUGUAUUAUCAGCAGUCUUCAUUAGGAGGAGGUCUUGUGAAGGAAACUAGCUUGGUUGUGUGUUGGUCACUGUCAGUGACUGGCUCUGCAGCUCCUGCAGCCCACCCAGCGUGCCUUUUGCAGCUGAGCUUGUUGUCAAGGUGUGCAAAAAGAGCCAAGUUGGGUGCUAAGGCAUAAAUGCAGCUGCAUGUUUCAACUGGGGCCUUGUGCUGCAUCUCGCUGUUGAUAAUAAAUAUUUAAAGCUGGGCCUAAGGCAGUACAAGACUGUGCUGCUUCUCCUUUAGCACGCUAAGGUUACUGCUGUAGGUCACCAAGGGCAAUAUCAGGAUGAAGCUUUGCUUUAGCAAGCUGUGGAGGAGGCGUGACGUACGUAAAGCUAGGUUUACUUAUGCUGCUGUGUUCUAAAGGAAUAAUCUUGUACUCAUGCGAAUGCUGUGGUGUAUUACAGCUUGCUCUGCAAUGCAAGCUUUUCUGUUCUACUGGUACUAUUCCAAAGCAAGCAUGCUUUUCACUUUCAGUUUGGAGGAGAGGAAUUACUGCAGCUGUUUGUACUUCUAGGCUUUGAGUUUUCUUUUUGUGAUAAG
Molecule: non-coding RNA, 1174 nt
Organism: Meleagris gallopavo (turkey)
Lineage: Eukaryota; Metazoa; Chordata; Aves; Galliformes; Phasianidae
Source: RefSeq, a predicted model, not a curated record